Molecule: ribosomal RNA, 492 nt
Filed under: uncultured bacterium
Lineage: Bacteria
Description: partial 16S ribosomal RNA
Rfam family: Bacterial small subunit ribosomal RNA
Source: RNAcentral
AGUGAACGCUGGCGGUAGGCCUAACACAUGCAAGUCGAACGGCAGCACAGUAAGAGCUUGCUCUUACGGGUGGCGAGUGGCGGACGGGUGAGGAAUACAUCGGAAUCUACUUUUUCGUGGGGGAUAACGUAGGGAAACUUACGCUAAUACCGCAUACGACCUACGGGUGAAAGCAGGGGAUCUUCGGACCUUGCGCGAUUGAAUGAGCCGAUGUCGGAUUAGCUAGUUGGCGGGGUAAAGGCCCACCAAGGCGACGAUCCGUAGCUGGUCUGAGAGGAUGAUCAGCCCAACUGGAACUUGAACAAGGUCCAGACUCCUACGGGAGGCAGCAGUGGGGAAUAUUGGACAAUGGGCGCAAGCCUGAUCCAGCCAUACCGCGUGGGUGAAGAAGGCCUUCGGGUUGUAAAGCCCUUUUGUUGGGAAAGAAAAGCAGCAGGUUAAUACCCCGCUGUUCUGACGGUACCCAAAGAAUAAGCACCGGCUAACUUCGUG